Molecule: ribosomal RNA, 636 nt
Filed under: Bemisia tabaci
Lineage: Eukaryota; Metazoa; Arthropoda; Insecta; Hemiptera; Aleyrodidae
Description: bacterial SSU rRNA
Rfam family: Eukaryotic small subunit ribosomal RNA
Source: RNAcentral
UCAGAAUUGUGCGCCGACGGUUCGGGCCCGACGCGUCAGCGGAACAUCCGGCCGGUGGCGGUACUUUCCGGCGGCUCGGUGAGGGCCUAGUGUCGCUGCGGGCCGGCACACUUACCUUGAACAAAUUAGAGUGCUCAUCGCAGGCGUUCAAAAAACGAAAGGGCGUGGCCCGCAUACAGGUGCAUGGGAUAACAGAAUACGACCUCGGCUCCGGGCGUCCGGCGGUUUGCGGGGCGAGGUAAUGAUCGAUAGGGGCGGACGGGGGCAUCCGUAUUGCGACGUUAGAGGUGAAAUUCUUGGAUCGUCGCAAGACGAACAGCUGCGAAGGCGCUUGUCAAGCACGUUCCCGUUGAUCAAGAACGAAAGUCAGAGGUUCGAAGGCGAUCAGAUACCGCCCUAGUUCUGACCGUAAACUAUGCCAGCUAGCGAUCCGCCGACGAUCCCUCUAUGGCUCGGCGGGCCGCCGGGAAACCAAGCUAACGGGUUCCGGGGGAAGUAUGGUUGCAAAACUGGAACUUAAAGGAAUUGACGGAAGGGCACCACCAGGAGUGGAGCCUGCGGCUUAAUUUGACUCAACACGGGAAACCUCACCAGGCCCGGACACCGGAAGGAUUGACAGAUUGAGAGUUCUUUCUC